GAUGAACGCUAGCGACAGGCCUAACACAUGCAAGUCGAGGGGUAGCAGGAUGUAGCAAUACAUCGCUGACGACCGGCGCACGGGUGAGUAACGCGUAUGCAACCUACCUUCUACAGGGGGAUAGCCCGGAGAAAUCCGGAUUAAUACCCCAUAAAACAGGGACUCCGCAUGGAGAUUUGUUAAAGAUUAAUCGGUAGAAGAUGGGCAUGCGUUCCAUUAGCCAGUUGGUGAGGUAACGGCUCACCAAAGCAACGAUGGAUAGGGGAACUGAGAGGUUUAUCCCCCACACUGGAACUGAGACACGGACCAGACUCCUACGGGAGGCAGCAGUGAGGAAUAUUGGUCAGUGGGCGCGAGCCUGAACCAGCCAAGUCGCGUGAAGGAAGACUGCCUUAUGGGUUGUAAACUUCUUUUAUAUGAGAAUAAAAAGAGUUACGUGUAACUUAUUGCAGGUAUCAUAUGAAUAAGCAUCGGCUAACUCCGUGCCAGCAGCCGCCGUAA
This 501-nucleotide ribosomal RNA is filed under the name uncultured bacterium. RNAcentral's name for it is "partial 16S ribosomal RNA". It matches the Rfam family "Bacterial small subunit ribosomal RNA", at positions 28 to 523 of the family's 1533-position model. The record is from RNAcentral.